RNAcentral lists this microRNA precursor (52 nucleotides) under Marmota monax (woodchuck). Lineage: Eukaryota; Metazoa; Chordata; Mammalia; Rodentia; Sciuridae. The record is from RNAcentral.
CUUUGAGUAUUAGUAUAUCCCAUGCAAUAUUUGGAACAUACUGACUCUAAAA